Molecule: ribosomal RNA, 251 nt
Filed under: uncultured prokaryote
Description: partial 16S ribosomal RNA
Rfam family: Bacterial small subunit ribosomal RNA
Source: RNAcentral
ACGUAGGUGGCAAGCGUUAUCCGGAUUUACUGGGCGUAAAGGGUCCGUAGGUGGUUGGGCGGGUCUGGUGUGAAAGCGCUCGGCUUAACUGAGCGAGGCCACUGGAAGCCGCCCAACUGGAGUCGCGCAGAGGGCACUGGAAUUCCCGGUGUAGUGGUGGAAUGCGUAGAGAUCCGGAGGAACACCAGUGGCGAAGGCGACACGCUGGGCCUGGCCUGACGCUCAGACGCGAAAGCAUGGGGAGCGAACGG